UUUUUCUUNUUUUUUUUUUUUCUUUUUAGGGCCUCACUUGUGGCAUAUGGAAGUUCCCAGGCUAGGGGCUAAAUCAGAGAUACAACUGCCGGCCUAUGCCACAGCCACAGCCAAAUGCAAUUCUGCCGUGUCUGUGACCUACACCACAGCUCAUGGCAACUCUGGGUCCUUAACCCACUGAGGGAGGCCAGGGGUUGAACCAGCAUCCUCACAGAUACUAGUUGGGUUCUUUACUACUGAGCCACAAUGGGAAUGCCCCAAAUUUUCCUCUUCUUAUAAGGACAUCAAUUACAUUGGAUUAAGGCCCAUUCCAAAGACAGCAUCCAAACUUGAUUAAACCUGCAAAGACCAUAUUUUCAAAUAAAGUGGCAUUCACAUGUGCUGAGGAUUAGUGGUUAAGCCAUAAAUAGAUAGAUAGUUAGAUAAUAGAUGAUAGGUAGGUAGAUAGAUAGAUAUGUAGUAAAGAAUUAAUAUUCUUAUAAACAAGCCUCAGUUUUUAUCUAUACAACAGAUAUAAUAAAACUGCCCUCAUAUGAUUGCUGUGAGGAUGAAAUAUGUGAACGAAUCUAGCAUGAGGCAGAAUUAGCUAUAUGGUUGAUGCUUGUAUUAAUAACUCAGGUAACUAUUUUCAGGUAGUAGUUACCUAACUCAGGUAACUAUUUUCAGAAGUAGUUUCAGGAAAGGAUUCUCAUUGUGUUCUAUAUAUCUAUACGAUUCUAAAUACCACAUGUCAUCAAUUUAAAACAAAUCUUUAAGUCUCAUGGAUAUGGCCAAAAGAAGUACAUGAUUCAGAAAAGGCAUUAGGUUGCACUAGAACUUUCUUUAGCCUUGGAGUAUUCUACUAGAGAACAAAUGUAUAGAAUACUCGCAAAGUUAAUGUCUGGGGAUUCUGUUUCCCCCCUCUGUAAUAGUCCUAACUGUAUUUACACUAUAAGGCAGCAUUAGAUUUUUGGCUAAUUGCUGAAUUAGAUAAAUCUGGUGGCUUACGGCUUUCUUCUAUUUUCUUCUCUCACUAUUGGAUGUUUGGCUUUUAACGUUCUGGACAAUCACCUGUACUUCCCACUUUUCUUUGCCAAUUGGCACCAGCACAUUCAAAGUUAAAUUUAAUGCAAAGACAUCAUCUGGCACAUUUCUCUAAUCUCAAAAAGGUAAAUUCCCAAACCUCAGUUGAAGUAUUUCUAUUUUAGCCUGAAUUUUCAAGAUAAUUGCCUCCUCAUGUCUCCACUUAAUUUGGCUUGUGCAGAUACAAUCACAUGAACAAAUACAUGUUAAUGGAAAGCCUUCUUAGCUGUCAGUGAGUUGGACAUCCAUUGGGGAUGGUAUAUGGGAGCUCUGGAAUUUAUAAUCCUUUCCACUCUGCCAUUAAUUAAAAGUGCCCCAGAGACAGAUUGGGAGUGACCCAGGGUGAAGGGGUUGAAGGUUAAGCCUUUUAGCUUUGAGCCUCCAGUUUGAAUCUGAUCUAAGCUGGUAAUAAAUAAGAGCUACUGCUAUUUGAUAUCAGUUUGGUGAAUCAUGUGAAAUGAAUUAGUAAUCUCAGGCUUGUUCUGGUGGACAGGUGUCCUCAUACAGUGGGAGCUGAUAGCCUUUGCAGAAGAACCCAACAACCUAAAAAAGAUGGAAAUAAAAUGGCUUCACAAAUAUUCUCUUACCUUGCUAAGAUUGCUGUUCAGUAACAUGGAAAAGUAAGAAACCUUAGGAUUCCAUAUGCCCAGCUUGUAAAUGGCUAUGGGAAUAAAAGGGAUCAGGAUGGGCUUAAUAAGACCCAGAGAGUGGGUCAAAUGGGAAUCAGGUGGUGGGUCUAAGAGAAAUUUAAUAUCCUUGGCUUCUCAUUUUUUCCCCCUUUCUGUUUGGUUGUCAUGGGAAUCUGUAUUUGUGGAAGAAAUACUGACUGCAUUUGCCCAGGGCAGAUGUAUGUACCCUCUAGCCUUCAAAUUUAGCAUUACUAGGACAGAAGGAUUUGUGGCUGGAUAGAAUGAAGGCGAGUCAUACCGGUAAUUCUGGCAGGCAAAAUAAAACAUUGCAAGCAUUAAAAAAAUUUUUUUUUUCCAAAAGAUAUCAUGUACUGAAUUGAAAUAAGAUCAAAACUUGUUUUACUAAACUGAGGAAGGCUAUUUAGAGCUUAGUUUAACUCAAAUUUUGUUAUUAGGAUUAAUCCAGUAGUACUUUCACCCAUCUUUUAAAUGUAUAUUGAGGAAGAACUGCAUUUUUUUUUUUUAAUAAUAGAAAAAAAAAUGGGGCAGCCCUGAGGAAUUAAGUGGAGGAAAAAGACAUCCAACCUUCAAUGUACUUAACUUUAUUUUUCUUUUUGUGAAAGAAAAUAUGAAUCAUUAAUAUCAACUACAUCUUGCUGGUUUUAGUAAGCUUCAACAGGCAAAAUGUACUAGUUCUUUCUGAAUCAGGUUUGUGAAGUUAUUUGUGCAUGUGUGUAUGUGGGUAUGUGAAGUACCAGCUUUGUGCAUAUACAAUAGUGCUAAAGAAAUCAUAAUGUUUUCCUUAGCACUUUUUAUCUGACAGAGUCUUUGAAAAUAAAUUCAUCAGAUUGUGGUGAGUAAUAUCUUUGGCUAAGAUCUAAACACUACAAACAUGAUGAACCUAUGAAUAUGUUUUCUUGAUUUUCUUCUUUAAAAUGUCUUAACUUGCUAUUGUUCCUCUUUGUAACUCAUCCCAAACCAAGUAAUUCCAUUUUGUUUCUGUUUGUUUAGUGAUUACAUCAUGUUGCCAUUAUAAAAGAGUCCCAUUACCUGAGUCUGGAACUUUUAAAAACUCCUUUUUCCGUCUCUUCAUCCCCCCAUCCUGGCAAACUGCUCUUUCAUUUCCUGCCAGGUAGAUAAUCUAAUAAAUGCUUUCACAUCAAAGGUUAAUACCUGAUUAUGGAUUAAAUAUGAAAGCUGAGCCACAUUGAAUAGUCUGUAUUUGUUUCUGACAUAGAAUAGUAGUUUCUUCAUAUGGUUCCGCCUAUGACUCCUUAAUUUGCAUUUAAGAACAAAACUGCAUUGGUUUCUCAUGGUAAAAUUAGGGGAUUAGAGUCAUGGCAGUCAGUGACAAUAGUUUGGGGAAUAGAAAUCCUUUACUGAGAGUUCCCAUCAUGGCUCAGUGGAAGGGAACCCAACUAGUAUCCUUGAGGACCCAGGUUCGAUCCACGGCCUUGCUCAGUGGGUUAAGGAUCCGGCCUUGGUUGCCAUGAGCUGUGGUGUGAGUCACAGACGUGGCUGUGGCAUAAGCCAGGAGCUACAGCACCGAUUCAACCCCUAUCCUGGGAACUUCCAUAGACUGAGAGUUCAGCCCUAAAAAGACACACACACACACAC
This 3308-nucleotide long non-coding RNA is filed under the name Sus scrofa (pig). Its description in RNAcentral is "lncRNA (ENSSSCG00035010044.1)". The record is from RNAcentral. Lineage: Eukaryota; Metazoa; Chordata; Mammalia; Artiodactyla; Suidae.